AUACAGGGCAUUUUAUGCUCUGUAAUUGGAAUGAUGGGAAUGUAAAACCCUUCCAGAGUAACAAUUGGAGGGCAAGUCUGGUGCCAGCAGCCGCGGUAAUUCCAGCUCCAAUAGUGUAUAUUAGAGUUGUUGCAGUUAAAAAGCUCGUAGUUGGAUUUCUGCUGUGGUCAUCCGGUACCGCCCGUAUGGGUGCGCACCUGGUUUGGCUGCGGCUUUCUUCCUGUAGCCGUCCGCGCUUAAUUGCGUGUGUUGUGUUACGGAACUUUUACUUUGAGAAAAAUAGAGUGUUUCAAGCAGGCUUGUCGCCCUGAAUACUUCAGCAUGGAAUAAUAGGAUAGGACCUUGGUUCUAUUUUGUUGGUUUCUAGGACCAAGGUAAUGAUUAAUAGGGACAGUUGGGGGCAUUCGUAUUUAACUGUCAGAGGUGAAAUUCUUAGAUUUGUUAAAGACGAACUACUGCGAAAGCAUUUGCCAAGGAUGUUUUCAUUAAUCAAGAACGACAGUAGGGGGUUUGAAGACGAUUAGAUACCGUCGUAAUCUCUACCAUAAACUAUGCUG
This 557-nucleotide ribosomal RNA is filed under the name Eimeria christenseni. Its description in RNAcentral is "SSU rRNA". It matches the Rfam family "Eukaryotic small subunit ribosomal RNA", at positions 483 to 1044 of the family's 1831-position model. The record is from RNAcentral. Lineage: Eukaryota; Apicomplexa; Conoidasida; Eucoccidiorida; Eimeriidae.